RNAcentral lists this ribosomal RNA (496 nucleotides) under uncultured bacterium. RNAcentral's name for it is "partial 16S ribosomal RNA". It matches the Rfam family "Bacterial small subunit ribosomal RNA", at positions 28 to 506 of the family's 1533-position model. The record is from RNAcentral.
GAUGAACGCUGGCGGCGUGCCUAAUACAUGCAAGUCGAGCGAACGGACGAGAAGCUUGCUUCUCUGAUGUUAGCGGCGGACGGGUGAGUAACACGUGGAUAACCUACCUAUAAGACUGGGAUAACUUCGGGAAACCGUAGCUAAUACCGGAUAAUAUUUUGAACCGCAUGGUUCAAAAGUGAAAGACGGUCUUGCUGUCACUUAUAGAUGGAUCCGCGCUGCAUUAGCUAGUUGGUAAGGUAACGGCUUACCAAGGCAACGAUGCAUAGCCGACCUGAGAGGGUGAUCGGCCACACUGGAACUGAGACACGGUCCAGACUCCUACGGGAGGCAGCAGUAGGGAAUCUUCCGCAAUGGGCGAAAGCCUGACGGAGCAACGCCGCGUGAGUGAUGAAGGUCUUCGGAUCGUAAAACGCUGUUAUUAGGGAAGAACAUAUGUGUAGGUAACUGUGCACAUCUUGACGGUACCUAAGCAGAAAGCCACGGCUAACUACGU